GUGGGGAAUAUUGGACAAUGGGCGAAAGCCUGAUCCAGCCAUGCCGCGUGUGUGAAGAAGGUCUUCGGAUUGUAAAGCACUUUAAGUUGGGAGGAAGGGCAGUAAGUUAAUACCUUGCUGUUUUGACGUUACUGACAGAAUAAGCACCGGCUAACUCUGUGCCAGCAGCCGCGGUAAUACAGAGGGUGCAAGCGUUAAUCGGAAUUACUGGGCGUAAAGCGCGCGUAGGUGGUUCGUUAAGUUGGAUGUGAAAGCCCCGGGCUCAACCUGGGAACUGCAUCCAAAACUGGCGAGCUAGAGUACGGUAGAGGGUGGUGGAAUUUCCUGUGUAGCGGUGAAAUGCGUAGAUAUAGGAAGGAACACCAGUGGCGAAGGCGACCACCUGGACUGAUACUGACACUGAGGUGCGAAAGCGUGGGGAGCAAACAGGAUUAGAUACCCUAGUAGUCC
Molecule: ribosomal RNA, 450 nt
Filed under: uncultured bacterium
Lineage: Bacteria
Description: bacterial SSU rRNA
Rfam family: Bacterial small subunit ribosomal RNA
Source: RNAcentral